RNAcentral lists this ribosomal RNA (467 nucleotides) under uncultured bacterium. Its description in RNAcentral is "partial 16S ribosomal RNA". It matches the Rfam family "Bacterial small subunit ribosomal RNA", at positions 28 to 507 of the family's 1533-position model. The record is from RNAcentral.
GACGAACGCUGGCGGCGUGCUUAACACAUGCAAGUCGAACGGAAAGGCCUCCUUCGGGGGCUACUCGAGUGGCGAACGGGUAAUUAACAGGUGAGUACUUUGCCCUCGACUUUGGGAUAACUUCAGGAAACUGGGGCUAAAACCGGAUAGGACCUCCUGCCUCAUGUUGGGGGUGGGGAAGUUUCGGCGGUUGGGGAAGGCCUCGCGGCUUUUCAGCUUGUUGGUGGGGUAGUGGCUUACCAAGGCGUGGACGGGUAGCCGGCCGGAGAGGGUGACGGGCGGCAAUGAGACUGAGGUGCGGCCGAGAUUACUACGAGAGGAAGCAGUGGGGAAUAUUGCUCAAUAGGUGGAGGACUGAUGCAGCAGCGCCGUGUGCGGGAUGACGGACUUCGGGGUAUAGAACGCUUUCGCUCGUAACGAAGCAUUGUAUGACGGUAGUGGGUGAAGAAGCACCGGCUAACUACGUG